Molecule: non-coding RNA, 426 nt
Organism: Fundulus heteroclitus (mummichog)
Lineage: Eukaryota; Metazoa; Chordata; Actinopteri; Cyprinodontiformes; Fundulidae
Source: the annotation of a RefSeq genome assembly
AUGUUCUCUGUAGCUCUGCUGCUGCUGCUGGUUGCUGGAUCCUGUGUGAAGUGUGAACAGCUGACACAGCCAGCCUCUGUGACUGUGCAGCCAGGUCAACGUCUGACCAUCAGCUGUCAGGUCUCUUAUUCUCUGGGCUAUGCAACACACUGGAUCAGACAGCCUGCAGGGAAAGGACUGGAGUGGAUUGGGAUGAAGCAUGGUGAUGGAGAAUCAUACUACAAAGACUCUUUGAAGAACAAAUUCAGUAUAGAUGUAGACACUUCCAGUAAAACAGUGACUCUGAAUGGACAGAGUCUGCAGCCUGAAGACUCUGCUGUGUAUUACUGUGCCAGACGAGACCACAGUGACACAAACCAGCAGCAGAGCUGUACAAAAACCCCUCAGAACACAUGCAACAAAAAAUCACCAGAGGAGGUGCUUUAA